GAUGAACGCUGGCGGCGUGCCUAAUACAUGCAAGUCGAGCGAACAGACGAGGAGCUUGCUCCUCUGACGUUAGCGGCGGACGGGUGAGUAACACGUGGAUAACCUACCUAUAUGACUGGGAUAACUUCGGGAAACCGGAGCUAAUACCGGAUAAUAUAUUGAACCGCAUGGUUCAAUAGUGAAAGACGGUUUUGCUGUCACUUAUAGAUGGAUCCGCGCUGCAUUAGCUAGUUGGUAAGGUAACGGCUUACCAAGGCAACGAUCCGUAGCCGACCUGAGAGGGGGAUCGGCCACACUGGAACUGAGACACGGUCCAGACUCCUACGGGAAGCAGCAGUAGGGAAUCUUCCGCAAUGGGCGAAAGCCUGACGGAGCAACGCCGCGUGAGUGAUGAAGGUCUUCGGAUCGUAAAACUCUGUUAUUAGGGAAGAACAAAUGUGUAAGUAACUAUGCACGUCUUGACGGUACCUAGUCAGAAAGCCACGGCUAACUACGUG
This 497-nucleotide ribosomal RNA is filed under the name uncultured bacterium. RNAcentral describes it as "partial 16S ribosomal RNA". It matches the Rfam family "Bacterial small subunit ribosomal RNA", at positions 28 to 507 of the family's 1533-position model. The record is from RNAcentral.